GACGAACGCUGGCGGCGUGCUUAACACAUGCAAGUCGAACGGUGAAGCGCCUUCCUUUUUGGUGGGUGUGGAUGAGUGGCGAACGGGUGAGUAACACGUGAGUAACCUGCCCCCUUCUUCUGGAUAACCGCAUGAAAGUGUGGCUAAUACGGGAUAUUCUGGGUCUGUCGCAUGAUGGGUCUGGGAAAGAUAUUGUUUCGGUGGGGGAUGGGCUCGCGGCCUAUCAGCUUGUUGGUGGAGUGAUGGCCUACCAAGGCGGUGACGGGUAGCCGGCAUGAGAGGGUGGGCUGCCAUACUGGGACUGGGAGACGGCCAGGACGGCUACAGGAGGCAGCAGUGGAGAGUAAAGCACAAUGGGCGCAAGCCUGGUAGAACGAGGCCGCGUAAGAAGUGGAGGCCUUCGGGUUGUGAACCUCUUUCGCCAGAAAAGCAGGGCUGCCGCGUUUGUAGAUGGGUUGACGGUAGCUGGAUAAGAAGCGCCGGCUAACUACGUG
RNAcentral lists this ribosomal RNA (494 nucleotides) under uncultured bacterium. RNAcentral's name for it is "partial 16S ribosomal RNA". It matches the Rfam family "Bacterial small subunit ribosomal RNA", at positions 28 to 507 of the family's 1533-position model. The record is from RNAcentral.